AACGAACGCUGGCGGCAGGCUUAACACAUGCAAGUCGAACGGCUGUAGCAAUACAGCAGUGGCAGACGGGUGAGUAACACGUGGGAACCUUCCUAGGGGUACGGAACAACUCAGGGAAACUUGAGCUAAUACCGUAUACGUCCGUAAGGAGAAAGAUUCAUCGCCCCUAGACGGGCCCGCGUCGGAUUAGGUAGUUGGUGGGGUAACGGCCUACCAAGCCUACGAUCCGUAGCUGAUCUGAGAGGAUGAUCAGCCACACUGGGACUGAGACACGGCCCAGACUCCUACGGGAGGCAGCAGUGGGGAAUCUUGGACAAUGGGCGGCAAGCCUGAUCCAGCCAUGCCGCGUGAGUGAAGAAGGCCUUAGGGUUGUAAAGCUCUUUUACCAGGGACGAUAAUGACGGUACCUAGAGAAU
RNAcentral lists this ribosomal RNA (416 nucleotides) under uncultured bacterium. RNAcentral's name for it is "bacterial SSU rRNA". It matches the Rfam family "Bacterial small subunit ribosomal RNA", at positions 29 to 487 of the family's 1533-position model. The record is from RNAcentral.